GGGGUCGUAGUAUAACCUGGUAAGCUUUUCCGGGUUUAAGUGGAAGGGAAAGUUUGGGGAAUUAGUACAGCAGUCUCCAAAACUGCCUAUGGGGGUUCGAAUCCCUCCGACCCCA
This 115-nucleotide transfer RNA is filed under the name Candidatus Aenigmatarchaeota archaeon. RNAcentral's name for it is "tRNA-Trp". It matches the Rfam family "tRNA". From Rfam's summary of the family: Transfer RNA (tRNA) molecules are approximately 80 nucleotides in length. Their secondary structure includes four short double-helical elements and three loops (D, anti-codon, and T loops). Lineage: Archaea; Nanobdellati; Candidatus Aenigmatarchaeota. The record is from RNAcentral.